GAUGAACGCUGGCGGCGUGCCUAAUACAUGCAAGUCGAGCGAACAGACGAGGAGCUUGCUCCUCUGACGUUAGCGGCGGACGGGUGAGUAACACGUGGAUAACCUACCUAUAAGACUGGGAUAACUUCGGGAAACCGGAGCUAAUACCGGAUAAUAUAUUGAACCGCAUGGUUCAAUAGUGAAAGACGGUUUUGCUGUCACUUAUAGAUGGAUCCGCGCCGCAUUAGCUAGUUGGUAAGGUAACGGCUUACCAAGGCGACGAUGCGUAGCCGACCUGAGAGGAUGAUCGGCCACACUGGAACUGAGACACGGUCCAGACUCCUACGGGAGGCAGCAGUAGGGAAUCUUCCGCAAUGGGCGAAAGCCUGACGGAGCAACGCCGCGUGAGUGAUGAAGGUCUUCGGAUCGUAAAGCUCUGUUAUUAGGGAAGAACAAAUGUGUAAGUAACUAUGCACGUCUUGACGGUACCUAAUCAGAAAGCCCCGGCUAACUACGUG
Molecule: ribosomal RNA, 497 nt
Filed under: uncultured bacterium
Lineage: Bacteria
Description: partial 16S ribosomal RNA
Rfam family: Bacterial small subunit ribosomal RNA
Source: RNAcentral